This 4499-nucleotide small RNA is filed under the name Pongo abelii (Sumatran orangutan). RNAcentral's name for it is "retained intron". Lineage: Eukaryota; Metazoa; Chordata; Mammalia; Primates; Hominidae. The record is from RNAcentral.
GUUAUAAGACAUGGCGCUGUUACUUGUGAGCCUUUACAAGUAGUGAACUAGGAAGUUUGUCUCAAUUUCAGACAUUAAUUUUCAUUAUUCAUUUCCCCUUAGGCCAUUCUGUACUUUCACUUUUCUCCUUUAAUGCCUAAAAACGUUUACAAUGACUUACCCAAUAAUUUAAAAUAAUAGUAUAACGCAUUUCUAAAACGAUUUAAGUGUGUCUUUGUUAGCUUCUGAAAGAAGCUGGUGUGUGUUUUUCAAAGUUGUCAUGUUAUAUAUGUGGUCCAUUUGUUCAACUAGAAUAAAAAUGGUCUGAAACAGAAUUAUUUUGCUGUUGGAAAUUACUUUAUUGUGCAGAACUGUUAAAACUAUGUUUUUAGUUUAAAUUGCUAUUUUUAAAAUGUGUUGAAAAAUAUGCAAGUAGAAUGUGAGAUAAUACUUCACUUUAAAAAUGAACAAAUUGAGUAAACCAUCCUCAGACUUAGUCCUAUGAAAUUUUCAAUAACUGAAAUGCAAAAAGGUGGUUGUUUCUGUUGACACUAGGUUUGUAUGAAGCAAAUAGAGGUGGGCAAAAAAAAAAUGAGCUCCAUCUGAGAUAGUAAGAUAACUUUAUUCCCAUACAAUACCUGUGUUUUCAUUACCAAAGUAGCUUAUGUUUUAUAUUAUGAGAUAGACCUUCUAGUAACAGUAUCAAAUUUUUUGCAGAUAAGGUAAUUCUGAUUUAAGUGACACUUUUUUUUUUUUUUAAACUUGGCAGUAUUUGACUACAGUCAUUCCUUAUGAGAAAAAAAAUGGACCACCGUCUGUUGAAGAUCUUCAAAUAUUAACAAAAAGUGAGCAAAGACAAAAUGAAACUAUUAACUGAUUUCCUUUUGCUGAUCGGUAAACACCUGACUUUAGUUGGCUGAUUUUGUUGUUAGUGUUUUGUCAAUUUAGGAUAUAAAUGAUGCAUAUAAUUGUUUAUUUUUAUAAGAAUGAAGCCCAAAAUGGCUGUGACAUUAAAUACAACAGUAACUCUAGUGUUGAUUUGUAGUUUUUCUGUUUUUCUUACCUUGUGAAAUAUUUAUGAGCUAAAAUUUUGGGAAAAAGCAUAACCUAAAUCUCCAUCAUCUCUUAUAUGUUUAAGAACAUAUCCAUUUAUCAUAAAUAAAAUUCUUUAUGGAUCUUAUAUAUCUGUGACUGUCAGUAAUUGAAUAGGAAAGAUUUAGGGUAAACACUUUUUAUUUCUUAUGAAUGUAGAACCCGAAGGAGUAGUUAUAGGUAGAACAUAAAUUGACAGUGAUGUUUUAAGAACAUGCAUUCAUUCAGCAAAUAUUUGGUGAAGGCCUACUCUGUACCAGGCCAUGAUCUGGGCACUUGGGAUACUUUAGUGAACAAAGCAGACAAAGAUAAUGCACCUUCAAGGGUCUUGCCUUAAAAAAAAUUGUUAGAUUUAAAUAUACAUGAUAUUGAGUAUCUCUUAUGAUGGCCGCAAAUGAGCCCUGAAUUCUGGUUCUAUCCCUGUUAUUUUCAGGGAUAUCCUUGGAAGUUACUUACUCUCUUUUGCUCACAUUGAAAAACUAGGAUAAAAAAUAUUUGUUCUAUUUACCUCACAGUAAAUAGAUUAAUAUAUGUAUGAUUUUGGCUAAGUUACUAUCAAUUAGCCGUUAAAAUGGAGGGAUUGAAUUUGCUGAUCUGUUAGGUCUUCGUUAUGGUAAAUAUUUAUGAUACUUGCUAAUUAGGGGGGAACCAAAUGAAAGAGCAUCACAUGGAUGAGUAUGGAUGAUGAUAUUUAUUUUGGAAAUUUAAGAGGAAUGGGCAAGGAAAACCUAAGAGUAGAAGCAAGUGUCUUAUUUCUUAGCUCCCUGCCUGCUAACUUGGAGCUUUUAUUCUUUCCUUUGGUGAAUAAUUCUUUAAAAAGUUUUAUAUUUAAAUAUGGAUAAAUCAAGUGAUGCCAGCCAGUCUGAAAUAAAAAAUCAAGAGAUUAACUGGGUAGCUAGCCCUCUUAUUUUCAGGAGGAACUUAUGAAGUUAUGCGUGUCCAAGAUCACACAGGGGGAUGGUUAAUUACAGAGCUGGGUCUCUUAAUUCCCAGGAAAUUAUACUUUUAAUGAUGCUGGUUUUUGGUAUGUGAUUUUAUAUAGAAGUUAGAAAAAAUUUUAAACAUGAUUGGAAGCAGAAAUAGUGAACAUGGUAGCCGUCUAAAGAAGGGAACAUAAAUAAAUAUUGCUCAUAAGCCAGGAAUUACUGGCAGGCCUCAGCUUCUCAGAUCAAGAACAAAUACUUUGUUGGUCAAACUAAAGUCAUCAUAAUUCCAGCAUUGAGAUGUCUUUAUAGGUUGUCACAGUUUGGAAUCUUUGGACAUAUGGGUCCAAAGCUCCUUUUCUUUCCAAAAGAACAGCGCUGUGGAGACAGUCACAGUGUUUAUGGAUAUAUAGUCUUCCUCAUAAAAGCUAUUAGGGGAUUCUGGGUGCAAUAAUAAUAGUAAUAAAAAUUUAAAUAAAUAUUAGUAGUGUUAGUUACAGUUAAUACAUAGCAUGUACUAUGUGCCAGGCACUAUGAUAUGACCUUUAUAUCUGAAUUAGUAGCUUAGUCCUCAUAACAAACCUUUGAGAUUAAAUCUAAUUAUUAUUCUCAUUUCACAGAUGAAGAGCUUGGUGCAAAAGUGGUUAAGUAGCUUGCCCAGCGUCACACAAUUAGGAAGUGGCAGAGCCAGGGUUUAAACCCAGGAAGGCUGAUUUGACAGUUACACUAUUUUGCCUUGUCGUAUUGGUGGGGAAAAACAGUGAAAUAUUUUUACCAGGAUGCUUUGGAGAAAAUUUGAGUUGGCAAUCUCUGUUAAAGUAUAAUAUUUGUGAGUUUAUCUCAACCUGAAUGGUCUAGCUUAAAAAAGAAAAACGUUACACUAGGUGGCUGUUUUUUCUAUUUUAGUUUUUACUUAGAAGAUACAUUUGUCAAAUUAGAAUGAGGCUAAUUCUCCCAGGUUUCUCCCUAGUGCAGAGGAGGUGACAGCCAGGCAGAUGCCAGGUGCUGCUUCAUGGAAGUCUGUUCUUCAUUUGGGUCUUUUCUUUGAAAGUUUCUAAGGAGUCUGACAGAUAUGCUUGUUGGAGGGUAUAGCUGUCCAUUUCUCUAAGAGUUUCUCUAGUUUGCUUGAUCUACAGCACUGAGGUUUUCUUGCUGCACAGAGUUCAUUGAGGUGCACAUUACAGUAACCCACUUUCCAGUAUUAUUACAGAGCGAAGGCUCCUUGUAAAUAACCCAGUUCCUCUUUUUUGCCUCCACUGUUUGGAAAUUUUAAAUCAGGGAAGCCACUCUCAGGUAAGUGGGAUAUUCUUACCUAAAAUAAAUUCUUGUGGACUUACUCCACUAAAAUAAAUUAUUGGGCCUUUAUUGUUGUAUCCCCUUAUCAGGAAAAUCACCUAUAAUUUGUAUGAGUCAGUUAUAUCCUAUAAUUAAGGAAGAUUAAGGCCACAAUGAUUGAAAUUAAAUAAUAUUUUUGGUCUAAAUUUUUAACUGUCUUUUUUCCCUCUUCUAUUUUGCAGUUCUUUGUGCCAUGAAGGAGGACAGUGAAAAAGUUCCGAGCUUGUUAACUGAUUAUAUUCUGAAAGUUCUGUGUCCUACAUAGAGCAGCAACUUUAUCUGCGGUGGGCUCCAAGCUAGAUUUCCUACAGCAUUAUUCUGAAAGCUGGCUACCGUUACCCUUCUUGCUAUUGGAAACUCAGCACAUUUGAACUUGGGUUUGAUUCAGUAUUAACAGAUCUUGACUACACUAAUUCUUUAUAUUAUAGAACCAACGGAAAUAUGGGCACUAUUUUGAAUUCUAGAGAUGGUUUUUGUUAAAUCUACUAAUAAACUGUUCUCUUAGUAGACUGAGAGAGAGUAAUAUUAAUUGUGCAUGUGCAGUUCUAUUUCUCAUUAACUGACAGUAUGCCCAUUUGUGUUUACGGCUUUCUUAUCUGAACUGCACUGAUGAGCUAGAUUAAAGGCUUGGGAGAUUUCUACUAUGAAUUCAGUGACGGCAACAACCAACACUGUGUUUUGUGAGAAUUGUCAGUAUAACUAUUACCUGCCAGUAUUGUUCAGAGAGACUGAAACAGAAUAAACUUGGGCUGUUCUUGAAGAAGCAAAACCAAAUAUGCAUUACUUUGGUUUAAUACUUUAACAUUGAAACUGUUGGUGAUGAUGGAUUUUGUAGCUUGCUGCUUGUUUCACCAUUGGUCAAAUUUUAACCAUUAAAUUGCCAUUCACUUUUAGAAUCUUGUAUUGUUUAACUUUUGAUUUUCAAAUGUUCUGCUUCAUGUGUCUGUGAAGAAUUGUACUUUAAAAGUUUGUGUCCUCUGAGGUGCUUGAGAAAGUGUACACUGCAGAACUGCCCAUUCUCAUUACUGUGUCAUAUUUUAUUCAUACCUGUGUGUUUUUCUUAAGUAUGAAUUCUAGAUACAGCUACUUAUGGAUUCAUCAGUAUCAUGAGCACUUUUGCUGGUUCCAAUCAAAUCAACGGCAUUUAAUAAAUUUUUUAAGAAGUAAAAA